Molecule: ribosomal RNA, 253 nt
Filed under: uncultured bacterium
Lineage: Bacteria
Description: partial 16S ribosomal RNA
Rfam family: Bacterial small subunit ribosomal RNA
Source: RNAcentral
UACGUAGGGUGCGAGCGUUGUCCGGAAUUACUGGGCGUAAAGAGCUCGUAGGUGGUUUGUCGCGUUGUUCGUGAAAUCUCACGGCUUAACUGUGAGCGUGCGGGCGAUACGGGCAGACUAGAGUACUGCAGGGGAGACUGGAAUUCCUGGUGUAGCGGUGAAAUGCGCAGAUAUCAGGAGGAACACCGGUGGCGAAGGCGGUUCUCUGGGCCUUACCUGACACUGAGGAGCGAAAGCGUGGGGAGCGAACAGG